UACAGAGGUCCCAAGCGUUGUUCGGAUUCACUGGGCGUAAAGGGUGCGUAGGUGGCCGGGUAAGUCUGAUGUGAAAUCUCCGAGCUCAACUCGGAAACUGCAUCGGAUACUCUCCGGCUAGAGGAAUGGAGGGGAGACUGGAAUGCUUGGUGUAGCAGUGAAAUGCGUAGAUAUCAAGCGGAACACCAGUGGCGAAGGCGAGUCUCUGGACAUUUCCUGACGCUGAGGCACGAAAGCUAGGGGAGCAAACAGG
RNAcentral lists this ribosomal RNA (253 nucleotides) under uncultured bacterium. RNAcentral describes it as "partial 16S ribosomal RNA". It matches the Rfam family "Bacterial small subunit ribosomal RNA", at positions 524 to 776 of the family's 1533-position model. The record is from RNAcentral.